GAUGAACGCUGGCGGCGUGCCUAAUACAUGCAAGUCGAGCGAACAGAUGAGGAGCUUGCUCCUCUGACGUUAGCGGCGGACGGGUGAGUAACACGUGGAUAACCUACCUAUAAGACUGGGAUAACUUCGGGAAACCGGAGCUAAUACCUGAUAAUAUAUUCAACCGCAUGGUUCAAUAGUGAAAGACGGUUUUGCUGUCACUUAUAGAUUGAUCCGCGCCGCAUUAGCUAGUUGGUAAGGUAACGGCUUACCAAGGCAACGAUGCGUAGCCGACCUGAGAGGGUGAUCGGCAACACUGGAACUGAGACAAGGUCCAGACUCCUACGGGAGGCAGCAGUAGGGAAUCUUACGCAAUGGGAGAAAGCAUGACGGAGCAAAGCCGCGUGAGUGAUGAAGGUAUUCGGAUAGUAGAACUCUGUUAUUAGGGAAGAACAAAUGUGUAAGUAACUAUGCACGUCUUGACGGUACCUAAUCAGAAAGCCACGGCUAACUACGUG
RNAcentral lists this ribosomal RNA (497 nucleotides) under uncultured bacterium. RNAcentral describes it as "partial 16S ribosomal RNA". It matches the Rfam family "Bacterial small subunit ribosomal RNA", at positions 28 to 507 of the family's 1533-position model. The record is from RNAcentral.